RNAcentral lists this unclassified non-coding RNA (253 nucleotides) under uncultured Rhodobacterales bacterium. RNAcentral describes it as "contains 16S-23S intergenic spacer region". It matches the Rfam family "Bacterial small subunit ribosomal RNA", at positions 524 to 776 of the family's 1533-position model. Lineage: Bacteria; Pseudomonadati; Pseudomonadota; Alphaproteobacteria; Rhodobacterales. The record is from RNAcentral.
UACGGAGGGGGCUAGCGUUGUUCGGAAUUACUGGGCUUAAAGCGCACGUAGGCGGAUCAGUCAGUCAGGGGUGAAAUCCCGGGGCUCAACCCCGGAACUGCCUUUGAUACUGCUGGGCGGGAGGAUGAGAGGGGGGAGUGGAAUUCCGAGUGUAGAGGUGAAAUUCGUAGAACUUCGGAGGAACACCAGUGGCGAAGGCGGCUCCCUGGCCAGAUACUGACGCUGAGGUGCGAAAGUGUGGGGAGCAAACAGG